Molecule: small nucleolar RNA, 239 nt
Filed under: Microcebus murinus (gray mouse lemur)
Lineage: Eukaryota; Metazoa; Chordata; Mammalia; Primates; Cheirogaleidae
Source: RNAcentral
UCAGUUAUGGCUAUGCCUUUAUUUUUCCUUUGAAAAGUAAAGGAAGCCACAUUUAAUUCAAGGGCUUUGUUUUAAUUUUUUUUUUAGAACAAGAAGUAUAGUCAAAUAAUACCUUUCUGGCCUUGCCUCUAUUUGUGCUGCUGCCCAGAGUUCCUGACAGCAGCCUGCAGGAAGGCCCACAGGUGGGGCCCAGGGUAGGGCUGGGCACGAGCUAUCUGAGCGCAACCUUGGAUCUGACA